RNAcentral lists this ribosomal RNA (253 nucleotides) under uncultured bacterium. RNAcentral describes it as "partial 16S ribosomal RNA". It matches the Rfam family "Bacterial small subunit ribosomal RNA", at positions 524 to 776 of the family's 1533-position model. The record is from RNAcentral.
UACGGGGGGGGCAAGCGUUGUUCGGAAUUACUGGGCGUAAAGGGCUCGUAGGCGGCCAACUAAGUCGGACGUGAAAUCCCCAGGCUCAACCUGGGAACUGCGUCCGAUACUGGAUGGCUUGAAUCCGGGAGAGGGAUGCAGAAUUCCAGGUGUAGCGGUGAAAUGCGUAGAUAUCUGGAGGAACACCGGUGGCGAAGGCGGCGUUCUGGACUGCUACUGACACUGAGGAACGAAAGCCAGGGGAGCAAACGGG